GAUGAACGCUGGCGGCGUGCCUAAUACAUGCAAGUCGAGCGAACAGACGAGGAGCUUGCUCCUCUGACGUUAGCGGCGGACGGGUGAGUAACACGUGGAUAACCUACCUAUAAGACUGGGAUAACUUCGGGAAACCGGAUCUAAUACCGGAUAAUAUAUUGAACCGCAUGGUUCAAUAGUGAAAGCCGGUUUUGCUGUCACUUAUAGAUGGAUCCGCGCCGCAUUAGCUAGUUGGUAAGGUAACGGCUUACCAAGGCAACGAUGCGUAGCCGACCUGCGAGGGUGAUCGGCCACACUGGAACUGAGACACGGUCCAGACUCCUACGGGAGGCAGCAGUAGGGAAUCUUCCGCAAUGGGCGAAAGCCUGACGGAGCAACGCCGCGUGAGUGAUGAAGGUCUUCGGAUCGGAAAACCCUGUUAUUAGGGAAGAACAAAUGUGUAAGUAACUAUGCACGUCUUGACGGUACCUGAUCAGAAAGCCACGGCUAACUACGUG
This 497-nucleotide ribosomal RNA is filed under the name uncultured bacterium. RNAcentral's name for it is "partial 16S ribosomal RNA". It matches the Rfam family "Bacterial small subunit ribosomal RNA", at positions 28 to 507 of the family's 1533-position model. The record is from RNAcentral.